Molecule: unclassified non-coding RNA, 250 nt
Filed under: plant metagenome
Description: partial contains small subunit ribosomal RNA, internal transcribed spacer 1, and 5.8S ribosomal RNA
Source: RNAcentral
GUAGGUGAACCUGCGGAAGGAUCAUUAUCACGUAUCCACGUAUCAACCAUCGCGAACUGUUUUACCUUUUGUCGAGAGUGAGGUAGUGGGACAUAGGCCUGCUCAUUUUAAAUGAUUUAAGAGCGCUCAGGGCUUAUGUCUCCAUGGAACCUAAUUGAACGGACCCCUAAGACGGGACUAUUCAAGGUGGUACAUACUCGUUCACUUCAAACUGUAUUUUCAAAUCAUUUGUUAAACAAUUUAAACUACU